UACGGGGGAUGCGAGCGUUAUCCGGAUUUAUUGGGUUUAAAGGGCGCGUAGGCGGGACGCCAAGUCAGCGGUAAAAGACUGCAGCUAAACUGUAGCACGCCGUUGAAACUGGCGACCUUGAGACGAGACGAGGGAGGCGGAACAAGUGAAGUAGCGGUGAAAUGCUUAGAUAUCACUUGGAACCCCGAUAGCGAAGGCAGCUCCCCAGGCUCGAUCUG
RNAcentral lists this ribosomal RNA (218 nucleotides) under uncultured bacterium. RNAcentral's name for it is "partial 16S ribosomal RNA". It matches the Rfam family "Bacterial small subunit ribosomal RNA", at positions 524 to 742 of the family's 1533-position model. The record is from RNAcentral.